Molecule: long non-coding RNA, 4030 nt
Filed under: Zalophus californianus (California sea lion)
Lineage: Eukaryota; Metazoa; Chordata; Mammalia; Carnivora; Otariidae
Description: lncRNA (ENSZCAG00015002442.1)
Source: RNAcentral
AUGGCGUGGAGCGGCGAGGGGAGGGACUGGGCCGCGGCGGACUCGGCGGCGGAGGGAGGAGCGCGGCUGCGGGCGGGCGGCGAGCGAGGCGCUCAAAGUCAGCCUCGCAGACAUUGCAGCAGAGCCCCGAACUCGGGAGGAGGCGGCGGCGGCGGCGGCGGCGGCGCGGCGGUGGCGGAGGAGGCGGAGGAGGCGGAGGAGGCGGAGGAGGCGGCGGCCGAGGCGGAGGGACGACCCGGCCCCAAGCCCUCCCUCCCGCCAGCGCACGCCUGCCGGUGGCCCCGCGGCCGCCACUGUGCUUGGCAGCACUGCUGCUCUGAGGGAAGAGCUCGCCGGGGCGCCGGGGAAGGACGGGGCGGCGGGGCGCCUUCGUGGAGUGAGCCUGACGGAACCCAGGCUCGGAGCCGCGGCGGCCUCGGGGAGCUUUUGGACUGUGAGCUAUUUCAGAACUCUGUUCUCAGGACCUGUUAUUUUAACAGUCAGGAGAAACACAUCCAGAAGUACUUACCUCUUCCUUUUUAAAAGAAAUCAACUUUACUUUCUUGACAUCCAGUGCUAACAGUACAUGUUAUUGGCUACUUUUUAAAGACGAAAAUCCUCCCUCUGCUGAAAAGCCCUCAUCUUGGUUGUAGUAAAAUUUAAAGUUCCUGUCUUUGCUGACCAGGCCAUCGCAUCUUCUUAAUGAGGCCUUGCCUGGCAACCAUUCCACUCUGAGUGGAGGCUUCCCCUCUUUCCUGUCUCCUCUUUUCUUUUUCCACAGCACUUAUCACCUUUAAAGCUACCAUGACAUUAAUUUUUUAAAAUUAUUGUUUAAUGAUUAUUUUCCUCUUCUAAAGUGAAAGCUGUCUGAGGGCAGGAAUUUUUUUAUGUUGUGUUCAUCACAAUAUAUCUGAAAGAACCAAGAGUAAUGCUGGGUUUCAGUUGGUACAGCUACUACAGAACACAGUGUGGAGGUUCCUCAAAAAACUAAGAACUACCAUCUGAUCCAGUAAUCCGACUUCUGGGCAUAUAUAUCUAAAGAAAUUGGAAUCAGGAUCUUGAAGAGCUAUCGGCACUCCUAUAUUCUUCUCAGAAGUAUUCACAGUAGCCAAGACAUGAAAGCAACCCACGUGUCCAUCGACAUGUGAAUGCAUCAAGAAAAUGCAGUAUUUCCAUACCUUAAAAAAGAAGGAAGUCCCAUCAUUUGUGACAACAUGGAUGAACCUAAAGGACAUUAUCCUAAGUAAAAUAAGCUAGCCAGAAGCACAAAUACUACAUGAUCUCGCUUCUGUGAGGAAUCCAAAAAGUCAAACUCCUAGAAGCAGAGAAUAGAAUGGUGGUUACUAGGAAUUGGGAGGAAGAGGAAACUGAGGUUUUGGUCAAAAGGUAUAAACUUAAAUUAUGCAAGAGGAAUAAAUCCUAGGGAUCUACUGUACCGCACAGUAUCUAGAGUUAGCAAUAAUGUAUUUUAUACUUAAAAAUUUGCUAAGAGGUAUGUUCGGUGUUCUAAUCACACAAAAAAUAAGGAGGGCAGGAAAAAACUUCUGAAGGUGUUGGAUAUAUUUAUGGCAUUGAGUACUUACUUCCAAACUCAUCAAGUUGUACAGCAUUUUGUAUAUCAGUUAUUCCUUUAAAAAUUGUUGUUGUUUGAUGAUAGGCAUUUAGAAGGAGCUCAUAAAUAUUUAUUGCCUAAAUAUUUCUUGAAUGCAUGGAGAAACUGCACUUUUUCCCCACUCCUGGAAAUUUGCCUUUAGGAAUUUUCUGGGGGUGGGCGCCUGGGUGGCUCAGUUGGUUAAGCGACUGCCUUCGGCUCAGGUCAUGAUCCUGGAGUCCCGGGAUCGAGUCCCACAUCGGGCUCCCUGCUCAGCAGGGAAGUCUGCUUCUCCCUCUGACCCUCUUCCCUCUCGUGCUCUCUAUCUCUCAUUCUCUCUCUCUCUCUCAAAUAAAAUCUUUAUUAAAAGGAAUUUUCUGGGGGCAGGGAAUAUUUAAAGCAAGAGAAAACAAAGAUCUUCAGUUGUAUAUAUAAUAAUACAUUUUGAUAAUUUGAAUUAGUUGAAAAUAGUUUGUUCAUCAAACUGAUACGUAUCUACCUAUAUGAAAGGUAACAUGUAAAUAUGAGGUUUCCAAAAUACAGAGUUUAUUAUUGUGGUCAAGUAAUUUAUCUUUUGGCUAUUUAUAUGUGUAUUUUUCCAUUUGGGUCAUAAAAAUAAUGUUGGUAAUCAGUUAGAGAAAUAUAUUUAUAAGAUACUUCUUUCAUUCUUAUGACAUAUAGAGAUACACAUUGUAUUUUGGUAUCUUAAAAUUAGUAUGAAUCAAACAGACCUCGGUAGUUUUUAAGAAAUAAUUUAUAUGUAGCAAAGUAUAGAUUGCCUUUCAAUUUAGUAGACAUUUUCUAGUUGUAGUUUUUAGAGUUUUAUUUUUAAGACAUUUACAAUAAAUGUCUUUAAAAUAGUACAAAAAUGUAAUCAAAGACAUACUAAGAAGUGGUGUAUGCUACCUUAGAAUACAUUAAAAAGAGUUGUUAUAAGUGGUUUUUCCAAAACGGUGAAUGGUAUGGUAUGUGAUUAUAUCUCAAAAGCUGUAAAAAAUGUAAAAAAAUAAUUUUUUCUAAUUAAAAAAAAAAAAUGGUUUUUCCAAAGUAGAAUAGGUAACUUUAUGUGAUAAUUUAAGCAAAGUUUUUCUUGGAAGUCUGUUUACAAGUGUUUGGUUUAUUUUAUGCCUUUAUAUAUCAACACAUGAUAUAUAUGACUAUUUUAGUAAUCAUUUUCAUGAGAACAGGAAGAACUAUAAGUUUGGGUUUAUUUCUUUCUCUUUCCACUGCCGUUUUCCAAAUUCAAGUGUUCGUGCUUCAUGCUCCUUAGACAGUUACUGCAGUCACUUUCUAACUGGUCUUUUUGCCUUUUUGUUUUUAUUAUUCAACCCAUUCUACACACCAUAGGACAAUAAACCUUUCUGAAGGAAGCGUUAAAAUUCUGAACAAAGGCCUUCGCCUAACAAGAUAAAGGCCAGGUCCUAUUUUUAUCUGGCUCCUACUUAUGCCAGCAUCAUAUUCCAUUUGCUUCACCCUCAAAGACGUUAACCGCACAUUUCAUAUGCUACCUCACGGGUUGUACCAUCUUGAUCACAGGUGUCUUGUGAUCCCUGCUCAUUUUCUUUUACUAAAAACGCUACCUGUUCUGUGAUUUGAAUAAUCACCCUGAAGUGCCCUCUUCUAUUCUCCCUUAGUAGUUGAUGAGUAACAUUCACACUGCAUUUAUUUUAUUCAUCUGUUUUGCAAGAUUGUAAACUUCCAAAGGGAAGGGAUCAUAUCUUUUAUAAAUCUGUGAUUUGUAAAGCACCCAGCUUCAAGCCUUACAUGUAUAGGGUGAUUAAUCAAAAUGUUGAUGAGUCAGCAACUCCAGGGUAUAUCCUGGAGCUUUAGAAACAAUUAAGAGAAGUAUACAAAUUCAUCCUGUACCCUGUUGCACAAGUUACUUAAGCUUAGGGUGCAACAAUUUUUACAUGUGGUUUGAAGAUUUUACAUGCAGUUAGAAAUUUGUAGGUUCCAAAGUGUGAUCAAAGCAUUUGUGAUAGUUCUCAAACUGUGUUUUGUGGACUAUAUAAGUUUCUUAGUCUUCAUGUAAAAUAUAUAGAAUGUUGUUUUAAUGUUCCUUACCUGACUAAUGACAAGAUUGAUUUAAUAUGUUAGCUAAAUGUUUACUGUAAUAAGUCUCUUUACAAUUCAUCUGAAACAAGAAAGAAAAUAGAAGAUGCCUUUGGUGAAAGUAAUAAAUUACCUGUGUGAAUGCAACAAUUUGAGAGAUGAAUGAAUUUGAAAGUUUUGUUAACAACUUUCCAAAACUGAUCCUUAAUUCAUCAUAUUGAAUUACAUGGAGUAAAAUACAUUUUUUGAAGGGCAUCAUCUCACAGAUUUCCAUAAAUUUCUCAAAGGUGACCCCAUCCCUGUCAAUUCUAUUUCCUAGGAGUAUUUAAAAUUAAAUAGCUCACCAGGCUAGUGGACGUUCUAAAUGGGACUAAAAUCAGGAUAAUGAAUUUUUUUUUUUAAUUGGGG